AUCUGCAGUAAACAUUUCCCCAGGAAUAAGCUGUCUUGGACUCACCUGCUUCUAAAAGGCCAGUAUAAACAGUGGUACUUGACCACAUUCCUCCUCUUACUUAUAAGUUAACUGUUAAUAACAUUCCCCAGAAACAGAUUUUCCCCCCUGCAUUUUUACAUUCCAGGCUAUUUCAUGUCAGAACACAAUUGAAGUUCAAAUUUUAUUUUGUCAUGAAUAUUUUGGGAUAUAUUGUAUAUAUUUGGUAAAUCACAAGACUGUUGUUUUAUUGAUGGGCAGAAGACUAUUUUUGUUGUUUACUGUUUGGUUUUAGGGGUGGAGACAUUUUAAAUUAAAGCAAUUUAGCUUCCUAUGCCUCUCAUUCCACUGCUAUUUGAUUUUCUAAUAGAAUUGUUUGUUUCUUAAACCUCUAAAUGCAUACUGAUGAUGGCUUUUGUGAGCUAUUACUUGAUGGGGGCAAAAAUAUUUCAAAUUUUGGAGACAGACAUUCAUGAAGUGCUGAACAAUUCCAUUUGAGAGGCCAAAGCAGCUUAUGCUGACACAACUACAGAAGUUGAAAUCUUUACAGAUUUUGAAAUGUCUCUGAACAAAACACAAUUAGUUUAUAAAUUGAUGUCCAGAACUUCCAGAUGACGAUUGUUCCUCCUACCUUUUUGGACUCAGCCAGUGGGACCCAGAGCUUGAGAAACAAGUAAAAAUUUACAGACUCUUCUUCUUCUGGACUUCUCAUUUUCAUCCUGCUACCACUAUUAACUUUCGUGCAUACAGUGGGCUGGACUUAUAAGA
Molecule: long non-coding RNA, 786 nt
Organism: Homo sapiens (human)
Lineage: Eukaryota; Metazoa; Chordata; Mammalia; Primates; Hominidae
Exons: 3
Source: RefSeq, a predicted model, not a curated record